GACGGAGGAUGCAAGCGUUAUCCGGAAUGAUUGGGCGUAAAGCGUCCGCAGGUGGCAGUUCAAGUCUGCUGUCAAAGACCGGGGCUUAACUUCGGAAAGGCAGUGGAAACUGAACAGCUAGAGUAUGGUAGGGGCAGAGGGAAUUCCUGGUGUAGCGGUGAAAUGCGUAGAGAUCAGGAGGAACACCGGUGGCGAAGGCGGGUCUCUGGGCAGUAACUGACGCUGAGGAGCGAAAGCGUGGGGAGCGAACAGG
Molecule: ribosomal RNA, 253 nt
Filed under: uncultured bacterium
Lineage: Bacteria
Description: partial 16S ribosomal RNA
Rfam family: Bacterial small subunit ribosomal RNA
Source: RNAcentral